AUUGAACGCUGGCGGCAUGCCUUACACAUGCAAGUCGAACGGUAACAGGUCUUCGGAUGCUGACGAGUGGCGAACGGGUGAGUAAUACAUCGGAACGUGCCUAGUAGUGGGGGAUAACUACUCGAAAGAGUGGCUAAUACCGCAUGAGAUCUACGGAUGAAAGCAAGGGAUCGCAAGACCUUGUGCUACUAGAGCGGCCGAUGGCAGAUUAGGUAGUUGGUGGGAUAAAAGCUUACCAAGCCGACGAUCUGUAGCUGGUUUGAGAGGACGAUCAGCCACACUGGGACUGAGACACGGCCCAGACUCCUACGGGAGGCAGCAGUGGGGAAUUUUGGACAAUGGGCGAAAGCCUGAUCCAGCAAUGCCGCGUGCAGGAUGAAGGCCUUCGGGUUGUAAACUGCUUUUGUACGGAACGAAAAGCCCCGGGUUAAUACCCUGGGGUCAUGACGGUACCGUAAGAAUAAGCACCGGCUAACUACGUGCCAGCAGCCGCCGUAA
RNAcentral lists this ribosomal RNA (498 nucleotides) under uncultured bacterium. RNAcentral describes it as "partial 16S ribosomal RNA". It matches the Rfam family "Bacterial small subunit ribosomal RNA", at positions 30 to 523 of the family's 1533-position model. The record is from RNAcentral.